ACUUUCUCUUCCCUUGUCAUCCCAGGAUUUGGCACACAGCCAGUGUUUCCACAAUUUAAUUUCUUCUCCUUAUAUAGCACAUGGUUCUUGUGGCUGGAGUUAAGGCAGGGAGUUCCUUUUCUAAAUCAACACAAGAAACCAUGUUUGUUUUUAUGAAAAAGACACAUAUUUUCCAUUAUUUUUGUAAAAAUAGGAGGGAUGCUAGAAUAAGUAAGUAGCAGAGGUGAAAAAUAAAAAUUUCCAGACAACUCUCACAAGACUGUUUCUAUUUAUUUGGAAUUUUCCACAUGCACACGCAUGCACAGGCACACACACACACACACAGAAGACUACAGUUAUAAGAGAAACAGAGCUUUCAAUACCUGGAGCUGAAUUUGCAAGAAAUGGAUCUAUGCUGAGACACUUUAUUUGCAUGGAAAAUAUCUACUCAAAAUCUGGUAAUGUGUAUAAAUUCCAUGGCUAAUACAAUUUACCUGUUUUCACUCCUGUUUUCUUAGACAAGUAAGGCAGUGCCCACAGAAAGUUCUCGGGCUCCUCGUCCUUAAUGAGAACAUGUUGUUGCUUCAACUACAGACUGGAGGUGCCAACACUGCAUUUUUAUACGAAUAGGAGGUGACAAGACACACGUGCCGUUAACCUUUUAUUUUACUGCACAUGCACUUUUUUACCCCAAAAAUUUGCCUAACAGAGCUUCAUUCUGCUGAGGUCUUGGAAGGCAUGCAUAGAACCUGACUCAUAGCAGGCUGUGAUUUAAAUGGUUGCUGAACAAAUAAAUAAGACAAUUAAUUAAAGGUGGCCACGAAAAGGUGACUUUGCCAAAAUCUUGUACCUUCCAUGGGCUGGAUCCCAGAUGGGAAGGGUUCUCCUUUCACGCUCUGUCUGCAAAGCCCCGUUCUAUUUAUUGCUGUGGCUUUUUGGCAGGCUCCUUUCCCUCGGCCCUGUAUGCUCCAUGCCGUGUGUUAGCAUAUUUUCCUGGAACAAAACUCAAGGAAAUACCGUUUCUAAAAAUACGCUUUAUGAGGUUUUCAGACUACAAUCCUUCUUUCUAACAGUUCAUUCACUGAGGGAUCCUAAGAUAUGACAUUCAUAGCCCCCUCCCCCCACAAAAAAAAAGAUGAAAAAAAAGGAGAGAAAGAGAGAAAGAAAGAAACAAAACAAAAUAGCCAAUCUGUUUUCAUCUAUGCAACACAUCUAACAAUUAUUUUCCCAAAAUAGGUAAGCUGUUCUAUGCCUGGGAAAUUUUAUUUUUGUGGGAUUAUGGCCACAGGGGCUCAGUUCUUACUAAAAUUAAUAACUAAAACAUCUUCUUGCUGAUGACUCAUACCAGGCACUUCUGUUUCCACAUAUUAAUAAAUAUAGCAGGUAUUAUUUGUUGAUUAGAGUUUAUAAAUGAGAAACUUGAACCUUUGACCUUUGAAGGAAUAUGACUAGUAAUGUGUUACUUUGGGAUAUCUCUCUCCUCACACUCUCCUCUCUUCUCUCUUCCUCCUUCCUCUUCCCCUCUUCCCCCCUUUUAUUGUAAAUCAUGAAGCUUUUGAGAUAUAAUUAUUUUUAUUUUCUGAUAUGGUAAAACUUAAUACUUACAGAAGAAAGUGAGAAGACAUUUACAGUGACAGUUAUAUAUUACCAGGAUAUAUUUUUGUAGCCCUUCCAUACAUACAUACAUGAAUUUAUAUGAGGACAUAUUUCAGGCUAAGUUGUGGACCUCAUGAUGUUUCUGUACAUCUCCUGUUACAUGUAUAUAACAGCUAGAAUUCAAAUUUAGCAUAUAAUGAAAAGUGCACAGUUCUCAAGUGUAUAUUUCCUUGAGUUCUGACAAGCUGAUGUGCCUAUGUCACCAAAAUCUAUAUAUAACCCU
This 1858-nucleotide long non-coding RNA is filed under the name Mus musculus (house mouse). RNAcentral describes it as "long non-coding RNA chr14:77456226-77458084". The record is from RNAcentral. Lineage: Eukaryota; Metazoa; Chordata; Mammalia; Rodentia; Muridae.